AGUGAACGCUGGCGGUAGGCCUAACACAUGCAAGUCGAACGGCAGCACAGGAGAGCUUGCUCUCUGGGUGGCGAGUGGCGGACGGGUGAGGAAUGCAUCGGAAUCUACUUUUUCGUGGGGGAUAACGUAGGGAAACUUACGCUAAUACCGCAUACGACCUACGGGUGAAAGCAGGGGACCUUCGGGCCUUGCGCGAUUGAAUGAGCCGAUGUCGGAUUGGCUAGUUGGCGGGGUAAAGGCCCACCAAGGGGACGAUCCGUAGCUGGUCUGGGUGGAUGAUCAGCCACAAUGGAACUGAGACACGGUCCAGAUUCCUACGGGAGGCAGCAGUGGGGAAUAUUGGACAAUGGGCGCAAGCCUGAUCCAGCCAUACCGCGUGAGUGAAGAAGGCCUUCGGGUUGUAAAGCCCUUUUGUUGGGAAAGAAAUCCAGCUGGCUAAUACCCGGUUGGGAUGACGGUACCCAAAGAAUAAGCACCGGCUAACUUCGUGCCAGCCGCCGCCGUAA
RNAcentral lists this ribosomal RNA (506 nucleotides) under uncultured bacterium. RNAcentral's name for it is "partial 16S ribosomal RNA". It matches the Rfam family "Bacterial small subunit ribosomal RNA", at positions 29 to 523 of the family's 1533-position model. The record is from RNAcentral.